GGAUUGUGGCUCAGCGGUAGAGCGCUCGCCUAGCAUGUGCGAGGCCCUGGGUUUGAUUCUCAGCACCA
Molecule: transfer RNA, 68 nt
Filed under: Marmota monax (woodchuck)
Lineage: Eukaryota; Metazoa; Chordata; Mammalia; Rodentia; Sciuridae
Description: tRNA.Ala
Rfam family: tRNA (bases 5-65)
About the family: Transfer RNA (tRNA) molecules are approximately 80 nucleotides in length. Their secondary structure includes four short double-helical elements and three loops (D, anti-codon, and T loops).
Source: RNAcentral